UCGUAACAAGGUUUCCGUAGGUGAACCUGCGGAAGGAUCACUGACGAGAGAGGGUCUUCCAGGCCCGACCUCCCACCCGUGUCUCUUUCUGACCCUGUUGCUUCGGCGGGCCGCGCCAGCGCCCCGUGCCUGGCCGCCGGGGGGCCCCUGUGCCCCCGGGUCCGCGCCCGCCGGAGACCUCCAAUGGAAUUCUGUUCUGAAAGCCUGUCGUCUGAGUGAUUGUCUUGCAAUCAGUUAAAACUUUCAACAAUGGAUCUCUUGGUUCCGGCAUCGAUGAAGAACGCAGCGAAAUGCGAUAACUAAUGUGAAUUGCAGAAUUCAGUGAAUCAUCGAGUCUUUGAACGCACAUUGCGCCCCCUGGUAUUCCGGGGGGCAUGCCUGUCCGAGCGUCAUUACUGCCCUCAAGCCCGGCUUGUGUGUUGGGUCCUCGUCCCCCCCGGGGGACGGGCCCGAAAGGCAGCGGCGGCACCGCGUCCGGUCCUCGAGCGUAUGGGGCUCUGUCACCCGCUCUGUAGGCCCGGCCGGCGCCCGCCCCGUCAACCUCUAUUCUUUCCAGGUUGACCUCGGAUCAGGUAGGGAUACCCGCUGAACCUAAGCAUAUCAAU
RNAcentral lists this unclassified non-coding RNA (605 nucleotides) under Aspergillus microcysticus. Its description in RNAcentral is "sequence contains 18S rRNA gene, ITS1, 5.8S rRNA gene, ITS2, 28S rRNA gene". The stretch from base 239 to 392 matches the Rfam family "5.8S ribosomal RNA". Lineage: Eukaryota; Fungi; Ascomycota; Eurotiomycetes; Eurotiales; Aspergillaceae. The record is from RNAcentral.